GUGUCAGCAGCCGCGGUAAUACGUAGGUGGCGAGCGUUGUCCGGAUUUAUUGGGCGUAAAGCGCGUGCAGGCGGUCGUCUAAGUCCGGCGUGAAAGCCCCCGGCUCAACCGGGGGAGGUCGCGGGAUACUGGGGGACUUGGAGGCGGGCAGAGGCCGGUGGAAUUCCCGGUGUAGUGGUGAAAUGCGUAGAGAUCGGGAGGAACACCAGUGGCGAAAGCGGCCGGCUGGGCCUGGCCUGACGCUGAGACGCGAAAGCGUGGGGAGCGAACCGGAUUAGAUACCCGGGUAGUCCACGCCGUAAACGAUGGGCACUAGGUGUGGGAGGUAUCGACCCCUUCCGUGCCGACGCUAACGCAGUAAGUGCCCCGCCUGGGGAGUACGGCCGCAAGGCUAAA
Molecule: ribosomal RNA, 396 nt
Filed under: uncultured bacterium
Lineage: Bacteria
Description: bacterial SSU rRNA
Rfam family: Bacterial small subunit ribosomal RNA
Source: RNAcentral